Molecule: ribosomal RNA, 389 nt
Filed under: uncultured Anaerolineaceae bacterium
Lineage: Bacteria; Bacillati; Chloroflexota; Anaerolineae; Anaerolineales; Anaerolineaceae
Description: bacterial SSU rRNA
Rfam family: Bacterial small subunit ribosomal RNA
Source: RNAcentral
AUACAAGUAGUAGGGAAAGGGAAAACUAGGACCGACCCUUCCGGGGAGGCUUGAACAGGUGCUGCAUGGCUGUCGUCAGCUCGUGUCGUGAGAUGUUCGGUUAAGUCCGCUACGAGCGCAACCCUCGCUGUGUGUUACAAGUGUCACACGGAACUGCCGGUCAUAAACCGGAGGAAGGUGGGGAUGACGUCAAGUCAGCAUGGCCUUUAUAUCCUGGGCUACACACACGCUACAAUGGGAAGGGACAAUAGGUUGCGAAACCGCGAGGUGGAGCCAAUCCAGCAAAACUUCCCUCAGUUCAGAUUGCAGGCUGCAACUCGCCUGCAUGAAGUUGGAGUUGCUAGUAAACGCAGGUCAGCCAUACUGCGUUGAAUACGUUCCCGGGCCUU